GGAUGUGAGGGCGAUCUGGCUGUGACAUCUGUCACCCCAUUGAUCGCCAGGGUUGAUUCGGCUGAUCUGGCUGGCUAGGCGGGUGUCCCCUUCCUCCCUCACCGCUCCAUGUGCAUCCCUCCCUGUAAUUAAUAUUUUCAUUGUGUUAUUUAUCUUGUUUUUGACUAAAUAAAGUAUUUGAUUUUAUAUUGAGUUAUU
Molecule: non-coding RNA, 198 nt
Organism: Pongo abelii (Sumatran orangutan)
Lineage: Eukaryota; Metazoa; Chordata; Mammalia; Primates; Hominidae
Source: Rfam